AAUUGCUAGAAAAGAGAGCAUUUUGAGAGAGAUGGCUGACCAGGAGAAAAGAGGCAAAGGAGGAGAAGGAGGCAAAGGUGGAAGCCUAAUUCCAGCAAAGAAGAAGUCAGUAAAGCAAAUGAUAGCUGAGAAAAUAGUUGAGUCUUCUUCCAAAGUUUUCAAGGAUGAUAAGAAGAAGAUAAAGCCUAGAGAUGAUGAAGACAAUGAUUAAUUAAACUUGUUUUUCUUGUAGUUUGUUUGUGUGUAUUUAUGGAUUAAAGUUUGCAAUUCAACAAUGAAUAUUUUGUUGUGAUAUUACAUCUUUCUAUUAAUCUUGUUGUAUACUUGUAUUAUUGUCUGGUG
This 342-nucleotide long non-coding RNA is filed under the name Coffea arabica (coffee). RNAcentral's name for it is "long non-coding RNA (CARA_LNC007255)". Lineage: Eukaryota; Viridiplantae; Streptophyta; Magnoliopsida; Gentianales; Rubiaceae. The record is from RNAcentral.